Molecule: small nuclear RNA, 98 nt
Filed under: Peromyscus maniculatus bairdii (prairie deer mouse)
Lineage: Eukaryota; Metazoa; Chordata; Mammalia; Rodentia; Cricetidae
Source: RNAcentral
AUUUUGAGCUCGAGCACAUACACCCAAAUUGGCAUGAUACAGAGAAGAUUUAGCAUGGCCCCUGAGCAAAAGCUGCUCACAAAAAUCAGUAACCUUUA